UACGGAGGAUGCAAGCGUUAUCCGGAAUGAUUGGGCGUAAAGUGUCCGCAGGUGGCUGUGUAAGUCUGCUGUCAAAGAGCAAAGCUCAACUUUGUAAAGGCAGUGGAAACUACACGGCUAGAGUGCGUUCGGGGCAGAGGGAAUUCCUGGUGUAGCGGUGAAAUGCGUAGAGAUCAGGAAGAACACCGGUGGCGAAGGCGCUCUGCUAGGCCGCAACUGACACUGAGGGACGAAAGCUAGGGGAGCGAAUGGG
Molecule: ribosomal RNA, 253 nt
Filed under: uncultured bacterium
Lineage: Bacteria
Description: partial 16S ribosomal RNA
Rfam family: Bacterial small subunit ribosomal RNA
Source: RNAcentral